RNAcentral lists this transfer RNA (88 nucleotides) under Paracoccaceae bacterium. RNAcentral describes it as "tRNA-Ser(tga)". It matches the Rfam family "tRNA". From Rfam's summary of the family: Transfer RNA (tRNA) molecules are approximately 80 nucleotides in length. The record is from RNAcentral. RNAcentral also lists the same sequence under 1 other name. Lineage: Bacteria; Pseudomonadati; Pseudomonadota; Alphaproteobacteria; Rhodobacterales; Paracoccaceae.
GGAGGAGUGGCAGAGUGGUCGAAUGCGGCGGUCUUGAAAACCGUUGAGGUGCAAGCCUCCGGGGGUUCGAAUCCCUCCUCCUCCGCCA